UAAAUUGCUGUGGUAUUUUGACUAUACAAAGGUAUUGAAAUAAGACUUUAAUUGAGUGCUAAGAGAAUGGAAUUACAAAAAAUUUCUUUCUUAAAUUUAAAAACCGAAGUUAUUUUUCUUUGUGAAGAAACAAUAAUAAAAAUUAGGGACAAGAAGACCCUAAGAAUUUUUAAAAGUAGUAUAUAAUUUAGUAUUACACUAUUUUUUUAAUUGGGGCGAUUAACAAAAAUUAAAAACUUUGUUUAUUAUUAAAAAAUGAACCAUUAAUAAUGGGAAAAUGAAUAAAAUACUCUAGGGAUAACAGCGUAAUAAUUUUUGAUAGUUCUUAUAGACAAAAUAGUUUGCGACCUCGAUGUUGGAUUAGGAUACUUUUUUGAUGAAGAAGUUAAAAAAAGAAGUUUGUUCAA
RNAcentral lists this ribosomal RNA (407 nucleotides) under Amblyomma brasiliense. Its description in RNAcentral is "partial 16S ribosomal RNA". The record is from RNAcentral. Lineage: Eukaryota; Metazoa; Arthropoda; Arachnida; Ixodida; Ixodidae.